GGUGGGGUGGCUGAGUGUUGAGGCGGCGGGUUGUAGCUCCGCGUACGGAGGUUAAAUCCCUUCCCCCAUCA
RNAcentral lists this transfer RNA (71 nucleotides) under Asterorhombus intermedius (intermediate flounder). RNAcentral's name for it is "tRNA-Tyr". It matches the Rfam family "tRNA". Rfam says of the family: Transfer RNA (tRNA) molecules are approximately 80 nucleotides in length. Their secondary structure includes four short double-helical elements and three loops (D, anti-codon, and T loops). The record is from RNAcentral. Lineage: Eukaryota; Metazoa; Chordata; Actinopteri; Pleuronectiformes; Bothidae.